Molecule: ribosomal RNA, 460 nt
Filed under: uncultured bacterium
Lineage: Bacteria
Description: partial 16S ribosomal RNA
Rfam family: Bacterial small subunit ribosomal RNA
Source: RNAcentral
CCUACGGGGCGUAGCAGUGAGGAAUAUUGGUCAAUGGACGAGAGUCUGAACCAGCCAAGUAGCGUGAAGGAUGACUGCCCUAUGGGUUGUAAACUUCUUUUAUAUGGGAAUAAAACGUUCCACGUGUGGGAUUUUGUAUGUACCAUAUGAAUAAGGAUCGGCUAACUCCGUGCCAGCAGCCGCGGUAAUACGGAGGAUCCGAGCGUUAUCCGGAUUUAUUGGGUUUAAAGGGAGCGUAGGUGGAUUGUUAAGUCAGUUGUGAAAGUUUGCGGCUCAACCGUAAAAUUGCAGUUGAAACUGGCAGUCUUGAGUACAGUAGAGGUGGGCGGAAUUCGUGGUGUAGCGGUGAAAUGCUUAGAUAUCACGAAGAACUCCGAUUGCGAAGGCAGUUCACUGGACUGCAACUGACACUGAGGCUCGAAAGUGUGGGUAUCAAACAGGAUUAGAUACCCCUGUAGUC